RNAcentral lists this long non-coding RNA (4176 nucleotides) under Linum usitatissimum (flax). Its description in RNAcentral is "long non-coding RNA (LUSI_LNC003720)". The record is from RNAcentral. Lineage: Eukaryota; Viridiplantae; Streptophyta; Magnoliopsida; Malpighiales; Linaceae.
ACAUCGAGCAAUUCAGAACUUCUUCGUCUUUGUCGCCGACGCUUUCUUCCACUUCUUCUCACUUUGUCGCUCAAGUAGGUCUUCGAGUUGGGGUAAUUUUCCGUCCUCUCUACCUCUCUUUUUAAUUUUCGGUUUACUUUCCGUUCGUUUAGGGUUUUCGUUUUCCGAUCAUCGGUAAAACUCUUUUCUAGGCGCCGAGAGGGAACAUUAGGUCGUCCUCGAACCAUGAUCUGUGAGUACGUAGCUAGCUUCCCCUUAACAAGAAUUUCAUUGAUAAUUUCCCUGGUAAUUUGCCUGUGCCACUUGACAUUCUUCCUAUUCUUACUAUGUUUGUUUUCUAACUGCUGACCUGCUUGCUUGCUUAAUCUUGGUUAUCUUUGUGCUGACCUGCUUGCUUGCUUAAUCUUGGUUAUCUUUGUUCUUAUUAUCUGCAUCGUGUUGUUAUCAUGCCAUAAAUCGGUUCAAGCUGCUUUGAAUUAUCAUGGCGACACUGGUUGACAUCAAUGUUGUAUUGCUUGCUAGCAUGAUCAUCUCCCUUUAUCUUUCCUUAAAUGCACUUUGAGAUUCUCAUAUGGAUUUGCAUCUUGUCAGUGUGAAUUAGUAUCAUUUUAUUUUUCCGUUUAAACUCCUUUGAGGCGCUAUGAAGUUCUAUUAGAUGGGGGAUUCUAACGCAUGUGCCACCAAAAAAGUUUUGAAGGUUUAGGUGGUUAUGGCUCACACACGUGGCGAUCCGGGUUCCACCUGUUUGCAGGUUUUUUUUCCGGGUUUGCCUCGUGUGGGUUGGGUCAUAACCACGUCUUCAUUGAGAAAAAAAAGAGGGGGUGGUGCGUAAAAGAAGUGUUAAGGGCGUUCAUCACCUAAGUGAAGUGAUGAGUUGGUGCGCUCUAACACAAGCACAAAGAAUGCGAGAAUGAAUGAACACCCCUCCAUGCAAGUCUGGAAAAAAUACUCAGACCAGAAUUCCCCCAUGUUUUACUUUACUACUUCCGCUUGUGUCACGAAGGUACGAUAAUGGAAACGAAAUGAUAUUCUCCAUUGACAAGGUUUAUUUUCAUUAGCACGAUAUGUGUGAAUUUCACUUGUACUUCUUUGCGGGACAUUGGUUUUUAAUUGUGUGGUCGAGCUUGACGCUUCAUGAGUCGUUGCUUGAUGAGCUGAAUGAAAUGUCGCUCUUUAGUCAUAAUAAGCUGCACUGGUUUGAGUUAGUUUAUUGCUUGAGCUCUAGCAAAGUGUAAGUGUGGGUAUAGCGUUCAUCUCCUUGCACUAAGUGAUUUUCUCCUCUUUAUUAUCCUGUUUGUGUCUCGUUUUCCGUCAUUGGACCCUUGCGGUCCCAUUUGAUAUAUCUUUGAGCGUUUUUGGUGAGGUUUUAGGUCAUGGUCAAUCAUCGCCUCAUGGUCUCAUUGCUAAGGUUGGUUUUGGACUAGUUUUAAUUUGAUUUUCACUUGCUCUCAUCAUUUCUUUUGGUCUGGAAUAACUGACUUUCUCCUUUAUACCUUUUGACGUGAAGGUGGGUUGGAGCUUGGUUGUGAAGGCUUCUCCGUGUUACAUGACUGUAUGGUUUGUCCUUUUCAUUUCCCUACUUCUUCCUGUAUGUUGUUGUCAUUCUAGGAUGUUCGCUCAACCAUUGCAGAUGGUAGCGGUGCCCGCAUUGAUAUCACACAUUCUCCAACUGCACAAGGGAAACAACAACUUGUCAAAGUUAUGAAACCUCAAAAUUCAACUCAUCUCUGGUAAUUCACCUCUGCCACUUGUCAUUUUUCGUGUUACAUGACUGUAUGGUUUGUCCUCUUCAUUUCUCUACUUCUUCAUGUAUGUUGUCGUCAUUCUAGGAUGUUCGCUCAUCCAUUGCAGAUGGUAGCGGUGCCCGCAUUGAUAUCACACAUUCUCCAACUGCACAAGGGAAACAACAUCUUGUCAAAGUUAUGAAACCUCAAAAUUCAACUCAUCCCUGGUAAUUCACCUCUGCCACUUUUCAUUUUUCGUAUUCAUGUUAUUAUUUUUCUGUAGUCUAUACGUUUCUGUAAGUCCUCGCUACUGUGUGCUAUGUUGGUCUUCUAACUGCUGACCUGUUUUGGUAAAGCUUUUGAUAUCAUUUUUUGCAACAUCAUCCUUCUGCUUUUCUUUCAUUUCUUUUCAUUUCUUUUCUAUGAUAAAAAUAACUCAUUCUUCCUUCUUUUCAUGGCUUUCUACUUGCGAGUUGACGAAAAUAUGGAGCUGUUUCAACUUGGUCUAGGGUCUAGGCAGUAGGGACUAGGUAGUGUGGUCUAGGUACUGAGGUUUAGGGUACGUUACGUAUAGUUAUUGGGGUCUAGGUAAGGUCUGGGGUUGGGGGUCUAGCGUCUAGGAUGAUCAUUUCUGUUGUUGAGAUCUGCAGACUUUCCUGUUGAAUUCGUAUGCUAGAGGGUGUGUCCUUGUUGACAGACUUUUGGAUCGAUAUUGAAAUGAGAUGGAUGCCAUUUAUUUUUUCCCUGGUUUUGGUGAAGUUCUUUGUUGAAAGAGAGGUGGAUAUGAAGAUGAGUUGUGAUGCCUUCUAAUGGCGGUUUAUAUAGGAUGGUGAGAGGCCAAAGACUGAUGGUAUGACUUGGGAUUCUGUGAUCCAGCACAGUCCCAACAAAUGUGGCUAACUAAGCAAUGUCCCUUUCUUGUCCACCAAUCCCUCAAACUCAUAAGUGGGAGGCAAAAGAUCCAAACUUUAUGACUUGGGAUUCUGUGAGCCAGCACAGUCCCAACAAAUGUGGCUAACUAAGCAAUGUCCCUUUCUUGUCCACCAAUCCCUCAAACUCAUAAGUGGGAGGCAAAAGAUCCAAACUUUAUGACUUGGGAUUCUGUGAGCCAGCACAGUCCCAACAAAUGUGGCUAACUAAGCAAUGUCCCUUUCUUGUCCACCAAUCCCUCAAACUCAUAAGUGGGAGGUAAAAGAUCCAAACUUUAUGACUUGGGAUUCUGUGAGCCAGCACAGUCCCAACAAAUGUGGCUAACUAAGCAAUGUCCCUUUCUUGUCCACCAAUCCCUCAAAACUCAUAAGUGGGAGGCAAAAGAUCCAAACUUUAUGUUUCACCAAUGUUAACAGAAGCUUAUGUAGCAGCAGCAGAAGAGUCAAUAAUAAAGUUUCCUCAUUGUUGCUUGUAUACUGCAGCGGGCAAGAGGAAUCUAGAUUGGAAAUUUAAACAGGUUAAAUUAUUAAUUCCAUCCGGGCAUGCUGCAACUUACUGGGAGAACAUGUUCUUGAUUGAUUGAUGCGAGUACAUUCUGGAUUCUUUGUUAGUAACCUUAUUUACUUCAGAGGGCUAUAAUUUCCCAAUUCAUUUUUUCUGGGAUUGGUUCUGCGCAUGGGCUCUAAUUUCACUAUGAAGAGCAUGCAUGAAGUUAAGGAAGGUUACAUCAAAGUGUAUUGCUGAUGCCAACAUCAAUCCAGAUUUAGAUUGGAUUUCAGCAUUUGCUUCUGACAGGCUGCAUUAUCCUGUUGAUUGACAGGCUGAUAUCAGCAAUGUCGAGGAGGGUUAGUUAGUAUGUGUUUGUUUCCUUGACUAGCCCCUGAAAGUGGUGGUGAAUGCCUGGCUGUUGGUAUCAAUCUUAACGAUUUCUUUGGUUUAAAAGGAAACUUUCGAGUUCUGGUGUGGUUUUGAAUUUUGCUACCACAAUCAUAUGAGGCUGGGUUAGAACUCGAAUGAUGUACCGUAUGUGUAAAUCAAUCUGAUGUAGUAUUUGCGAAUUGCGAUUGAAUUAUUAGACCGGUUGGUAUUCACUAUUGAAUCACUUAUGUUAGGUAUGGGCCGACCCGGUAUAUUUCCCCACACUCUCCAGAUAAAGCCUUAAAAAGGCUUGCAAAAUAGUUUUUACAUUUUCAUCGGCCGCCGAUCACCGGGUUCUCUCUUCACAAUCGCCGCGCCUUUUACAUUUUCAUCGGCCGCCGAUCACCGGUUUCUCUCUUCACAAUCGCCGGCGCUGUAUAUUUGAUUCCUCCCGAUGUCUUCUCUACGCCGUCAAUGCGAACAAAAUAUAGCUCUUCUUCUGAUCGCCAAAGCUAAUGUCCUUCUUCGAUCACGGCACUUCCGGCAUUUCCCUUUUCAUCACAUUCUUCCGUAUUCGCGCAAUUGCUUCUUCCGUUGCUUUCACCUGCAAUCUGACGGCCUAAUUUGAAAUUACUCAGACCGAACCGUUUCUUUCAUAUGGCAG